UACGUAGGGGGCUAGCGUUGUCCGGAUUUAUUGGGCGUAAAGAGCGCGUAGGCGGCCGAGUAAGUCCGACGUGAAAUCUGGAGGCUCAACCUCCAGCGGUCGUUGGAAACUACUCGGCUAGAGUCCGGAAGAGGAGAGUGGAAUUCCUGGUGUAGCGGUGAAAUGCGCAGAUAUCAGGAGGAACACCGGUGGCGAAGGCGGCACUCUGGGCCGGUACUGACGCUGAGGAGCGAAAGCGUGGUGAGCGAACAGG
This 253-nucleotide ribosomal RNA is filed under the name uncultured bacterium. RNAcentral's name for it is "partial 16S ribosomal RNA". It matches the Rfam family "Bacterial small subunit ribosomal RNA", at positions 524 to 776 of the family's 1533-position model. The record is from RNAcentral.